UACGAAGGGUGCAAGCGUUAUUCGGAUUUAUUGGGUGUAAAGGGUGCGUAGCCGGCAUAUUAAGUCCGCUGUUAAAUUUCCCAGCUUAACUGGGAGCCAGCGGUGGAUACUGAUGUGCUAGAGGAUGGAAGAGAGAAGUGGAAUUCCCGGAGUAGCGGUAAAAUGCGUAGAUCUCGGGAGGAACACCAAUGGCGAAGGCAGCUUCUUGGUCCAUAUCUGACGUUGAGGCACGAAAGCGUGGGGAGCAAACAGG
RNAcentral lists this ribosomal RNA (253 nucleotides) under uncultured bacterium. RNAcentral describes it as "partial 16S ribosomal RNA". It matches the Rfam family "Bacterial small subunit ribosomal RNA", at positions 524 to 776 of the family's 1533-position model. The record is from RNAcentral.